Octopus bimaculoides (California two-spot octopus) is the source of this 46-nucleotide non-coding RNA. The record is from Rfam. Lineage: Eukaryota; Metazoa; Mollusca; Cephalopoda; Octopoda; Octopodidae.
UCAAAGGCCCUUUUUAGGGCCAUUAUUCCCUCUUGAUAGUCAUUUU